GCUCUAAAAGGUAUUGUUUGACAAAUUUGACUCCAUCCCUUUUGAAGCAAUGGCUUUGAGCGAUACUGCGAAGUUUUCCCUUGCUGUGGCGUUGUUCGGCUCAAUUUCUUUCAUACUCGGUGUAGUAGCUGAAAACAAGAAGCCCCCAUUUGGUACUCGCAUUCAAGGAAAAGAUUCUAUCAUAUGCCAAUUCCCUAGCGAUCCAACGGUCGCCCUCGGAAGUGUAUCAAUUGUCGCACUCCUCUUCUCCGCUGUUCUUGGAGUCCUUUCCGUCUUCUAUCCCUACAAGGGCAAAUCCGUCCCCAAGGGUGCUCUGUUCAGCAGUACCACAUUGCUUGUAUUCUUCAUUAUCUCAUUGGUUGUGACUGCUCUAGCAGAGGGAAUGAUGAUGUGGGCAACCAUCACCGAAGGUCUCCACCGCACUAACAACGUACACCACAACAUGGAUGCAGAAUGCGCCACCGCCAAGACUGGCCUAUUUGGUGGCGCUGCCUUCCUCGCCCUUGACGCUGCCCUCUUCUGGCUCAUCGUCCAAAUGCUGACGAUGAAUGCGAGGGCUGAUUACUUGUGUGAGGAUGACGAAGACCUCAAGGGCCCUUAUGGGCAGGUGCUCGCCACUGAUUAUCAGUCGAACAGCACGGAACCGGCUAGCAAGGCAUGAACUGAACGAGUACAGGUAUGAAAUUGCAAAUGCAGGUGAAGCCAUUUGUAAAUAUAUGCUACUUGUUAUAGAUUCUACACUCCAUGAAUGGAAGUCGUUGUGGAAUCAAUAUUUGCUUUCGUAAAAACAAAUUUAAAUUUGAUGUUGAUUUGUAGUGUUGUUCGAAAUAUGUCGUGUUAAAUGGAUCUCCU
RNAcentral lists this unclassified non-coding RNA (852 nucleotides) under Hevea brasiliensis (rubber tree). The record is from RNAcentral. Lineage: Eukaryota; Viridiplantae; Streptophyta; Magnoliopsida; Malpighiales; Euphorbiaceae.